GACGAACGCUGGCGGCGUGCUUAACACAUGCAAGUCGAACGCUGAAGCCCAGCUUGCUGGGUGGAUGAGUGGCGAACGGGUGAGUAACACGUGAGUAACCUGCCCCCUUCUUUGGGAUAACGCCCGGAAACGGGUGCUAAUACUGGAUAUUCACUGAUCCUCGCAUGGGGGUUGGUGGAAAGGUUUUUUCUGGUGGGGGAUGGGCUCGCGGCCUAUCAGCUUGUUGGUGGGGUGAUGGCCUACCAAGGCUUUGACGGGUAGCCGGCCUGAGAGGGUGACCGGUCACAUUGGGACUGAGAUACGGCCCAGACUCCUACGGGAGGCAGCAGUGGGGAAUAUUGCACAAUGGGCGAAAGCCUGAUGCAGCGACGCCGCGUGAGGGAUGACGGCCUUCGGGUUGUAAACCUCUUUCGCUCAUGGUCAAGCCGCAGCUUUGGGUUGUGGUGAGGGUAGUGGGUAAAGAAGCGCCGGCUAACUACGUGCCAGCAGCCGCGGUAAUACGUAGGGCGCGAGCGUUGUCCGGAAUUAUUGGGCGUAAAGGGCUUGUAGGCGGUUGGUCGCGUCUGCCGUGAAAUCCUCUGGCUUAACUGGGGGCGUGCGGUGGGUACGGGCUGACUUGAGUGCGGUAGGGGAGACUGGAACUCCUGGUGUAGCGGUGGAAUGCGCAGAUAUCAGGAAAGAACACCGGUGGCGAAGGCGGGUCUCUGGGGCCGUUACUGACGCUGAGGGAGCGAAAGCGUGGGGGAGCGAACAGGAUUAAGAUACCCUGGUAGUCCAAGGGCGAAUUCCACAGUGGAUAUCAAGCUUAUCGAUACCCUCGACCAAAAAGAGUAGAACCCAGUACCCACUUUUGUUCCCUUAGUGAGGUUAAUUAA
This 875-nucleotide ribosomal RNA is filed under the name uncultured Actinomyces sp. RNAcentral's name for it is "bacterial SSU rRNA". It matches the Rfam family "Bacterial small subunit ribosomal RNA", at positions 28 to 863 of the family's 1533-position model. The record is from RNAcentral. Lineage: Bacteria; Bacillati; Actinomycetota; Actinomycetes; Actinomycetales; Actinomycetaceae.